AGGGAAUCUUCCGCAAUGGGCGCAAGCCUGACGGAGCAACGCCGCGUGAGCGAGGACGGCCUUCGGGUUGUAAAGCUCUGUUCUUCGGGAAGAAGGGCGGGAGGGCGAACAACUCUUCCGCUUGACGGUACCGAAGGAGAAAGCCCCGGCUAACUACGUGCCAGCAGCCGCGGUAAUACGUAGGGGGCGAGCGUUGUCCGGAAUUAUUGGGCGUAAAGCGCGCGUAGGCGGCUGGUUAAGUCCUGUGUGAAAGACCACGGCUCAACCGUGGGGGUGCACGGGAAACUGGCCGGCUUGAGUGCAGGAGAGGGGAGCGGAAUUCCCGGUGUAGCGGUGGAAUGCGUAGAGAUCGGGAGGAACACCAGUGGCGAAGGCGGCUCCCUGGCCUGUAACUGACGCUGAGGCGCGAAAGCGUGGGGAGCGAAC
Molecule: ribosomal RNA, 426 nt
Filed under: uncultured bacterium
Lineage: Bacteria
Description: bacterial SSU rRNA
Rfam family: Bacterial small subunit ribosomal RNA
Source: RNAcentral